GAUGAACGCUGGCGGCGUGCCUAAUACAUGCAAGUCGAGCGAACGGACGAGAAGCUUGCUUCUCUGAUGUUAGCGGCGGACUGGUGAGUAACACGUGGAUAACCUACCUAUAAGACUGGGAUAACUUCGGGAAACCGGAGCUAAUACCGGAUAAUAUUUUGAACCGCAUUGUUCAAAAGUGAAAGACGGUCUUGCUGUCACUUAUAGAUGGAUCCGCGCUGCAUUAGCUAGUUGGUAAGGUAACGGCUUACCAAGGCAACGAUGCAUAGCCGACCUGAGAGGGUGUUCGGCCACACUGGAACUGAGACACGGUCCAGACUCCUACGGGAGGCAGCAGUAGGGAAUCUUCCGCAAAGGGCGAAAGCCUGACGGAGCAACGCCGCGUGAGUGAUGAAGGUCUUCGGAUCGUAAAACUCUGUUAUUAGGGAAGAACAUAUGUGUAAGUAACUGUGCACAUCUUGACGGUACCUAAUCAGAAAGCCACGGCUAACUACGUG
RNAcentral lists this ribosomal RNA (497 nucleotides) under uncultured bacterium. RNAcentral describes it as "partial 16S ribosomal RNA". It matches the Rfam family "Bacterial small subunit ribosomal RNA", at positions 28 to 507 of the family's 1533-position model. The record is from RNAcentral.